Molecule: long non-coding RNA, 170 nt
Organism: Mustela erminea (ermine)
Lineage: Eukaryota; Metazoa; Chordata; Mammalia; Carnivora; Mustelidae
Exons: 3
Source: RefSeq, a predicted model, not a curated record
CGGGAAGGCAGGAGCGAAAGGGACAUGGCUGAGGCCGGCUGAGGGAUGGCGGCCCCCCCCCAGCCUCACCACGAGAGGCUCCUGCCGUGCAGCCCAGAGCCGAGCCCGCUGGAGGUGGAGACAUCGUCCGCACAGAGGGAGAACAAGCAGGGGGAGCAGCGGAGGGAGAG